AGCGGCGGAUGGGUGAGUAACACGUGGGGAACCUGCCCCUAAGUCUGGGAUACCAUUUGGAAACAGGUGCUAAUACCGGAUAAUAAAGCAGAUCGCAUGAUCAGCUUUUGAAAGGCGGCGUAAGCUGUCGCUAAGGGAUGGCCCCGCGGUGCAUUAGCUAGUUGGUAAGGUAACGGCUUACCAAGGCGACGAUGCAUAGCCGAGUUGAGAGACUGAUCGGCCACAUUGGGACUGAGACACGGCCCAAACUCCUACGGGAGGCAGCAGUAGGGAAUCUUCCACAAUGGACGCAAGUCUGAUGGAGCAACGCCGCGUGAGUGAAGAAGGUUUUCGGAUCGUAAAGCUCUGUUGUUGGUGAAGAAGGAUAGAGGUAGUAACUGGCCUUUAUUUGACGGUAAUCAACCAGAAAGUCACGGCUAACUACGUGCCAGCAGCCGCGGUAAUACGUAGGUGGCAAGCGUUGUCCGGAUUUAUUGGGCGUAAAGCGAGCGCAGGCGGAAAAAUAAGUCUAAUGUGAAAGCCCUCGGCUUAACCGAGGAACUGCAUCGGAAACUGUUUUUCUUGAGUGCAGAAGAGGAGAGUGGAACUCCAUGUGUAGCGGUGGAAUGCGUGGAUAUAUGGAAGAACACCAGUGGCGAAGGCGGCUCUCUGGUCUGCAACUGACGCUGAGGCUCGAAAGCAUGGGUAGCGAACAGGAUUAGAUACCCUGGUAGUCCAUGCCGUAAACGAUGAGUGCUAAGUGU
RNAcentral lists this ribosomal RNA (743 nucleotides) under uncultured bacterium. RNAcentral describes it as "bacterial SSU rRNA". It matches the Rfam family "Bacterial small subunit ribosomal RNA", at positions 94 to 823 of the family's 1533-position model. The record is from RNAcentral.